RNAcentral lists this ribosomal RNA (253 nucleotides) under uncultured bacterium. Its description in RNAcentral is "partial 16S ribosomal RNA". It matches the Rfam family "Bacterial small subunit ribosomal RNA", at positions 524 to 776 of the family's 1533-position model. The record is from RNAcentral.
UACGUAGGGUGCAAGCGUUAAUCGGAAUUACUGGGCGUAAAGCGUGCGCAGGCGGCUAUGCAAGACAGAUGUGAAAUCCCCGGGCUUAACCUGGGAACUGCAUUUGUGACUGCAUGGCUAGAGUACGGUAGAGGGGGAUGGAAUUCCGCGUGUAGCAGUGAAAUGCGUAGAUAUGCGGAGGAACACCGAUGGCGAAGGCAAUCCCCUGGGCCUGCACUGACGCUCAUGCACGAAAGCGUGGGGAGCAAACAGG